UACGUAGGGGGCAAGCGUUGUCCGGAAUCAUUGGGCGUAAAGCGCGCGUAGGUGGCCCCAUAAGUCCGCUGUGAAAGUCAAAGGCUCAACCUUUGAAAGCCGGUGGAUACUGUGGGACUAGAGUACGGAAGAGGCGAGUGGAAUUCCUGGUGUAGCGGUGAAAUGCGCAGAUAUCAGGAGGAACACCGAUUGCGAAGGCAGCUCGCUGGAACGUUACUGACGCUGAGACGCGAAAGCGUGGGGAGCAAACAGG
This 253-nucleotide ribosomal RNA is filed under the name uncultured bacterium. RNAcentral describes it as "partial 16S ribosomal RNA". It matches the Rfam family "Bacterial small subunit ribosomal RNA", at positions 524 to 776 of the family's 1533-position model. The record is from RNAcentral.